Long non-coding RNA from Equus caballus (horse), 3682 nucleotides. NCBI's taxonomy places the organism in Eukaryota, Metazoa, Chordata, Mammalia, Perissodactyla, Equidae. The record is from Ensembl.
AACGGUAUUUGCCCUGGAAAAUGUGUAUCAGUUCUUUCAAGAUGAAAAUUCAUUAAGGCGAAUGCCGUUCUGAUGACAAUACCUUAUUCAAACAUCCAGAGACAAACAUUCUCAGCGUCAAGCAGUGGGACCCAAUCAUCCUAUAUUAAAAAUACCGCGGCAGAGAUGUGGCUGAGCUUGUCGGUGUCUACCCAGAACCCAUCGCCUCUGUGUUGUUUAUCCACUGCCAAAGAGCCUAUGUUACACAUCAUCUUUAAUCAAUUUACUGUAGUUCUUUUAAACAUUCUGGAAAAUUUAGUUUGAACCUCAAACUUAAUUUGGCAUUUAGACUUAGAGGCAAUAAACAAACAUUUAUUGAUCAUCUACUAUCUGCUUCUGCUCUGUUAGCAGCUGUGGGCAUUCGUCCAAGAAGACCCAAUCCUUGAUUUCAGGGAACACAAAAUCAAAUUGGAGACUAGAGACACAUGAGGGCGUAAUUGAGAAGAUAAGAGAAUAUAUGAUAGAUAAUGAAUGAGCAGCAAUUCAGAGUCGUGAAAACACUCUUUUUUUUUGUUUUUUUGGUGAGGAAGCUUGGCCCUGAGCUAGCAUCUAUUGCCAAUCUUCCUCUUUUUUUUUUUUCUCCCCAAAGCCCCAGUGCAUAGUUGUAUAUCCUAGUUAUAAGUCCUUCUAAUUCUUAUACCUGGGAUGCCACCACAGCAUGGCUUGAUGAGCGGCGCUAGGUCCACACCCAGGAUCCGAACCGGUGAACCCUGGGCCACUGAAGCAGAGUGAACUGAUCUGAAGGUUGACGCCCAUCAGUCUACAUGAGACUUUAUUCCACAGAUAACAGACAACCGUGGAGGAUUUUCAGCGUAGUAAUUGUGCAGUGUCAAGAUGACCCUGAUAACAAGAGCAGUGACGCUUUAUUGACUGGACCAAGUGCCUUGUGUGUGUCAACUUGUUCAACUCUCAUCAUCUAAAGAUCGGGUAAUAUUAGCUCCAUCUGUAUUGACUGAAGCUCUAAGAGGCUAAGGAAAUUACUCAAAUCACACAGUUAUCAAACGGCUUAGCCAAGACUUGAACCCUGGUGUGUUUUAAUUCAAUUUCUGUACUUCCCUCCCUCGGGGAUUCACUGGUGGUGACAAGAAGCAUGGACAGGACAACACUUGGACCAUUUGCAGCCCUUACGCUUGGGUGUCUGAAAUAUGAAAAUGCAGAUUUGCCAAUCUGUGACUCAAGCAGAGACUUAGUGAUGAAAAGACAUACACUUCCUCUCACCAUGUGUUUUCAACACUGCCUCUCCCGAGCCUGGGACCCCUCCAAGGAUGAAUUGCUUGGAAUAUGAGGACAAAAUGGAGAAGUGUUCCGUCCAUUACUGUAAGAUCAAGUCUGACUUCAUCUCCGUCUUCAAUUAAUCAUUCUCAAUCAGAUAACUCCAAGAGGUGUCAGGUUUUGCUCGAUGAACUCAAAAGGAAAAUCUGUUUCCUAUCCUCUUCAGACUUACUUAUCUGAAUAUUUGCGUUUAGUAUUUGACCAAUGCUAAUGUCUACUGUUGGGUGUCGUGAUAGUAAACCCACAAAUUCUUUCCAUCUUUAGACAAAUGUUUCACUGUGUAUUAAUUUUGAUUCAUCUCAAUAAUGGUGAUAAUAUAACAUUCAUUUGAGGUUUCGGUAGCUAGUACUUGCAUCUUGACACAAAUUGCUUUAUAAUUCAGUCUUUAUUUUCUGGUUGCCUGAAAUAGUAUCCUCAGUAGCUAAGGCCUUUCGUCAAAAAACUGCUCCCAAAUAUUGUGUUCUAAUGCCGCUUUAUUUGCUGUGGAGCAGAGUUUUAGUGAACUCAUGGAAGGUUUGAAAUCCAACGUCCAUCCACUGCUGAACCACCGGGAGCAAUAAAUGGCCUUUUCCUGUUGGUGAUUGAAUAACAGAGUGCAGCUGAGGCAUCUCGUAAUCACCAGGACCAAAUAUGCUACUGAAUGAAUUCUCCUACUGUGGGAGAAAUCUUUCUAACACACAGGAGGAAAGGAGGAAAGAAACCAGCCUCUCAAAGCUGUGGGCUGUGGCAGGACCGUGAUGGUUAUCUUCCUGGGGGAUCAUCAACAUCCCCUAAAGGUGGAAUGACUGGCUCAGCUGAAUGGGCCAGGGAACACGAAUCUGAAAUCAAACGUUGGUUGAAGGGCACAGUCAAUGAGGAAAGGCAGCGGAUGUAUGUGGACAAUCACGUGUGCCGGGGUGUAAGUUUGGUUCAUUUGGAAUUGAGAGCAGCUGAAUCUCCUUGUUGCUCAGUGAUCAACACAUCUUCUGGGAAAACCAUCCCGUUUCAGACAACUUCCAGCCUGAGGAUUCGGCAGGACUCUCUCCCUCUCACAUAAUUUCACUUCCUUAGCGUGUCACUGGAUGAGCAGCGUCAGCCUCCUGUGGAGCUCAUUAGAAAUGCGGGCUCUCAGGCUCCAUUGCAGACCUGUGGCAUCAGAAUCUGCUUUUUAGUAGGAUUCCAAGCACAGUCUGACGCAGGCCUGGUUAGCAGAGGUCUCCCUGAGAGGGAUCUCAUUGUCGUGAUCUACAGGAGCCAGGAAGAGGAGCCAGCCCUCGGAGGGGGCUGGUCAGCUGGGGCCAUGACAACAGGCCGCACUCAAAGGAACAGGUCCCCUUCAGCUCCAAAAGAUUGGCGUCAUCUGAGAAUGUGGACCCAGCGUGGGCAGAUUUUUCUAGUGUCUAGAAGUGACUGUGCAAACCCAAAACAAAACUAAAAAGACAUGUUUGUGGGCCACCAAGAACCUCUGGUAUGAAGUAAAUUAUACAGGCAUUGGACAGUAACAACCCAUCCAAGGGAGCUGUGGGCGGAGGUGUGGCAUCUGCUCAUUCCUGUUGUAGGGAGGUGAGCUCUACCACGGGGCAGUGGAGUGAACAAUGCCCGGAGAUUAUCCAAAACCCUUUGCUUUAAUUUUCCGCUCACCCAACAGACUUCUGCUUACUAAUUCAGGUUUACAACAAAGUUUAAAACCAGCAAGGGGGGGAUCUGGAUAAGGCACUAUACCUAUUUCGGUCCCCGGAAAGGGCUAUUCCUGCAUAUCAAUAAAUCAGCAUUCUGAUUUCCUACUGACCUCUUUGCUGAAUUUGUCUGCCUUGUAGAGCUUUGGGCAGCUCUGGGUAAGCUAACGAAAUAAAAUUCUGGUGCUGAAAAGCUGUUUGUGACCCUGAUCAACAGUGACCUAGGUUUGGUCACUGCUCCCUCUCCAGACACCAACCAGUGGGCUAUCUCUCUGUGAAUGUGGCAGGCACCAUUUUGCUGGGGAAGGAGGUUAAAUCUUCAGCCUUGUCAUAGACUCAGCUUUGUAAUUCAAGACUCUUUUCUCUCAUCCUUUGAUUUUCAGCCCCCAGACUUUUCUCUCCAUGUCCUUGCCCCCCGGCACUUCCAAUUGUCUAGCAACUAACUGUAUUUGGGCAUUCCCUGUCUUCCCAAAUUAUCUUUACUCUUCUUCCUUACUUCUUCAUCCUUCUCUUGUUUUAUUCCUUUCAUUACUUUUUGUUCUUUUAUUUUGCAAACUCACCUGCUUCCUCAGUGAUCUUUUUAAGAUCCCAUAUGUUACAGAUUCAUGAGGAUGGAAACAUUCCUUUAGAGCUGGGCUGACCAAUGUGGUAGCCGCUAGCUACACGUGAUUAUCGAACAUGUGAAAUGUGGCUUGUCUGAAAUGAGACGUGUGGUA